AACGAACGCUGGCGGCAUGCCCAACACAUGCAAGUCGAACGAGACCAUCGGGUCUAGUGGCUCACGGGUGCGUAACGCGUGGGACCCUGCACUUAGGUUCGGAAUACCUCCCCGUAAGGGGUGCUAAUACAGGAUAAUGUCUUCGGACAACAGAUUUAUCGAAUUUGGAUGGGCACGCGUUGGUUUAGCUAGUUGGUAGGGUAAAAGCCUACCACGGCGUCGAUACAUAGCUGGUCAGAGAGGCAGAGCAGCCACACUUGGACGGUGACACGGUCCAGACUCCUACGGGAGGCAGCAGAGGCGAAUAUUGGACAACGGGCUAAAUCCUGAACCAGCAAGGCUGGUUGAGUGAUUAUGUCCUUAGAGUAGUAAAGCUCGUUUACCCGCCGUGAUAAUGACGGUACCGAGAGAAUAAGCUCCGGCUAACUCCGUG
Molecule: ribosomal RNA, 433 nt
Filed under: uncultured bacterium
Lineage: Bacteria
Description: partial 16S ribosomal RNA
Rfam family: Bacterial small subunit ribosomal RNA
Source: RNAcentral